This 915-nucleotide ribosomal RNA is filed under the name uncultured marine archaeon. RNAcentral describes it as "bacterial SSU rRNA". It matches the Rfam family "Archaeal small subunit ribosomal RNA", at positions 1 to 922 of the family's 1478-position model. The record is from RNAcentral.
UUCCGGUUGAUCCUGCCGGAGGCUACCGCUAUUGGAGUUCGAUUAAGCCAUGCGAGUCGCGAGUCUUAGGGACUCGGCGUACCGCUCAGUAACACGUGGGUAACCUGCCCUAUGCUGGGGGAUAACCUCGGGAAACUGAGAAUAAUACCCCAUAGUUCACCACGCCUGGAACGGUGGGUGGAUCAAAGCUCCGGCGGCAUAGGAUGGGCCUGCGGCGUAUCAGGUUGUAGGGGGUGUAAUGUACCCUCUAGCCCUCUACGCGUACGGGUGUUGAGAGACAUCGCCCGGAGAUGGAUUCUGAGACACGAAUCCAGACCCCACGGGGUGCAGCAGGCGCGAAAACUUGGCAAUGCGAGAAAUCGUGACCAGGGAACUCCAAGUGCAUCGGGUAAGACCGAUGCUUUUCUUGACUCUUCAAAGGUCUUGGAAUAAGGGGUGGGUAAGGACGGUGCCAGCCGCCGCGGUAAUACCGGCGCCCCAAGUGGUAGUCGCUUUUAUUGGGCCUAAAACGUCCGUAGCCGGUCUGGUACAUUCGUGGGUAAAUCAACCAGCUCAACUGGUUGAAUUCUGCGAGCACGGCCAGACUUGGGACCGGGAGAGGUGUGGGGUACUCUCAGGGUAGGGGUAAAAUCCUGUCAUCCUGAGAGGACCACCUGUUGCGAAGGCGCCACACUAGAACGGAUCCGACGGUCAGGGACGAAGCCUAGGGGCACGAACCGGAUUAGAUACCCGGGUAGUCCUAGGUGUAAACGCUGUGGACUUGAUGUUGGGGGCGCUCCGAGCGCACUCAGUGUCGAAGCGAAGGUGAUAAGUCCACUGCCUGGGGAGUACGGUCGCAAGGCUGAAACUUAAAGGAAUUGGCGGGGGAGCACCGCAACCUGAGGAUUGUGCGGUUUAAUUGGAGUCAACGCCGGA